Ruditapes philippinarum (Manila clam) is the source of this 623-nucleotide long non-coding RNA. RefSeq lists it as uncharacterized. The transcript has 2 exons. Lineage: Eukaryota; Metazoa; Mollusca; Bivalvia; Venerida; Veneridae. The record is from RefSeq and is a predicted model, not a curated record.
AACUACCGAUAUUUCAUUUCAAAAGCAAUAAAAAUUUUACAACACAAGCGUUUCGGUAAUCAUGAUCAGUGUAAACAUUUAUUGACUGGUUUACCAAUAUCGAUUUGUUUUACCCAUCCACAGUCUGUCUAUUUCACUAAAAAUGUAACACAGUCUAAUUACCUUGACCUUGGUAUCGGCAAAUUUGUUUGUAUAUUGUCAGUUUUUCACAGCUUGACUUCGGGGUUUAUAAUUGCUGAUAACAGUAAUUAGGCACAUGCGAGGGAGACUAAAAUCUGGGAUCAGAAUAUACCAUGGAAGCAAUGCAUUGGGUAUGGGUCUGACAACCUUAGUGUCAUGAUUGGCCGUCACAACUCUGUCUGAGAAGCAACCUGAUGUGCCUGAUAUGGGCUGUGUAUGCCAUUUAGCCAACACUUGUGUACAGUGAAGUCAAAAAACAUGUAUGACAUAUAAAGACAGUUCUAAUUGUGUAAAGUGUGUAAGUGAAAGUUGAGUAAAUUACAUAAACAUCAAAGCACAAGUGCAGUGGGAAAAAAAACAUGUAUGUUUUAUAAAGAAAGUUUUUUAAUGAUAAAAUUGGGUUGUUAAUUAGUUAUCAUGCAAAAUAAAAUGUUUUUAAAGAA